Molecule: ribosomal RNA, 447 nt
Filed under: uncultured bacterium
Lineage: Bacteria
Description: partial 16S ribosomal RNA
Rfam family: Bacterial small subunit ribosomal RNA
Source: RNAcentral
AACGAACGCUGGCGGCAGGCUUAACAAAUGCAAGUCGAACGCCCCGCAAGGGGAGUGGCAGACGGGUGAGUAACGCGUGGGAAUCUCCCGUACCCUCCGGAACACAAGUUGGAAACGACUGCUAAUACCGUAUACGCCCUACGGGGGAAAGAUUUAUCGGGGUAUGAUGAGCCCGCGUUGGAUUAGCUAGCUGGUGGGGUAAAGGCCUACCAAGGCGACGAUCCAUAGCUGGUCUGAGAGGAUGAUCAGCCACAUUGGGACUGAGACACGGCCCAAACUCCUACGGGAGGCAGCAGUGGGGAAUAUUGGACAAUGGGCGCAAGCCUGAUCCAGCCAUGCCGCGUGAGUGAUGAAGGUCUUAGGAUUGUAAAGCUCUUUCACCGAUGAAGAUAAUGACGGUAGUCGGAGAAGAAGCCCCGGCUAACUUCGUGCCAGCAGCCGCCGUAA